AAUCAUUCACGACUUUUCACGCGUGGCGGCGCUGCGGUUCCAUAAGUGGUUACUUGAACGCUUCAAUCACGUAAAACGCUUGCAUCUGUAUUUACAACGUAAACAAUGCCAAUGGCAUCCGAUGAUUACAUCACCUGGUCUGUUCCAGAACUAACGUUACGUGGAGCUGUCACAAGAGACAGAAAUAUAGAUCUUAUAGAAAGAAUCAAUUAGAAGAGCCAAAAUUUAUAAGCUUAGAUUCAAAACAUUCUGGAGGAGCAGAUUGUGUGAAGAAGCCAGCAG
This is a long non-coding RNA of Mytilus californianus (California mussel), 282 nucleotides long. RefSeq lists it as uncharacterized. NCBI's taxonomy places the organism in Eukaryota, Metazoa, Mollusca, Bivalvia, Mytilida, Mytilidae. The transcript is spliced from 3 exons. The record is from RefSeq and is a predicted model, not a curated record.